RNAcentral lists this ribosomal RNA (260 nucleotides) under uncultured bacterium. Its description in RNAcentral is "partial 16S ribosomal RNA". It matches the Rfam family "Bacterial small subunit ribosomal RNA", at positions 524 to 777 of the family's 1533-position model. The record is from RNAcentral.
UACGAAGGGGGCUAGCGUUGCUCGGAAUUACUGGGCGUAAAGCGUGCGCAGGCGGUUAUGUAAGACAGGUGUGAAAUCCCCGGGCUUAACCUGGGAACUGCAUUUGUGACUGCAUAGCUAGAGGUACGGGUAGAGGGGGAUGGAAUUCCGCGUGUAGCAGUGAAAUGGCGUAGAUAUGCGGAGGAACACCGAUGGCGAAGGCAAUCCCCUGGACCUGGUACCUGACGCUCAUGCGACGAAAGCGUGGGGAGCAAACGAGG